RNAcentral lists this long non-coding RNA (692 nucleotides) under Monodelphis domestica (gray short-tailed opossum). RNAcentral describes it as "lncRNA (ENSMODG00000038883.1)". The record is from RNAcentral. Lineage: Eukaryota; Metazoa; Chordata; Mammalia; Didelphimorphia; Didelphidae.
GUUACAUUAAAAUGCUCAAUUAACUCCCUCCUCCUCCCCCCCAUUAGAAGAGUCAUCACAUGAAUAUAUAUAUAUAUAUAUAUAUAUACAUAUAUAUAUAUAUAUAUAUAUAUACACACAACUAUGUCUUACUUGUUUCUAUUUUUCAGUUCUUUCCCUGGAGGUGGACAUACACAAGUCAUCCUUCAAACAAUAUUUCCAUUGCUGUUUACAAUGUUCUCUUGGUUCUGCUCGUUUCACUCUUCAUAUUUCAGAUUUCUUUUUCUGAAUAUAUCUCUACUCAGAUGAGGAUCAAUGGAGAAAAGAACACAGAAGGAAUGAUUCUGAACCCAAGGCAUGGAACUGGUAGCUAUUCCCUGUAUUUUAUAAUAGGAAAAAGGACUGAACUUGGGAAUUUGCUGACAUAGAGAACUCCCAGGUGAAGAAAUUUCCUCCACUAAUACAGGUCAAUAUAGAGUUGCCUGGUGGGUACUAGAAAAAGUUAAGUGACUUCCACAAGGUUUCUUGGACAGCAUGUGCCAAAGGUGGAACUUAAACCCAGAAAUUUCUAGCUUGGAGGUCAACUCUAUCCAUUAUACACUGGCUUUUGCACCAGCAACACAUUUUGGCAACACUGUUGAUUAUUUUGGAAGAUGGAAACUAACCUGUAUGUGGAGAAUAAAGGAGUGUUCAUGGAGAGCUACUUGGAAGUU